Molecule: ribosomal RNA, 433 nt
Filed under: uncultured Clostridium sp.
Lineage: Bacteria; Bacillati; Bacillota; Clostridia; Eubacteriales; Clostridiaceae
Also listed under: 1 other name
Description: partial 16S ribosomal RNA
Rfam family: Bacterial small subunit ribosomal RNA
Source: RNAcentral
ACGGAAGCAGCAGUGGGGAAUAUUGCACAAUGGGGGAAACCCUGAUGCAGCGACGCCGCGUGAGUGAAGAAGUAUUUCGGUAUGUAAAGCUCUAUCAGCAGGGAAGAAAAUGACGGUACCUGACUAAGAAGCCCCGGCUAACUACGUGCCAGCAGCCGCGGUAAUACGUAGGGGGCAAGCGUUAUCCGGAUUUACUGGGUGUAAAGGGAGCGUAGACGGCGAUGCAAGUCUGAUGUGAAAGCCCGGGGCUCAACCCCGGCACUGCAUUGGAAACUGUGUUGCUAGAGUGCAGGAGAGGUAAGUGGAAUUCCUAGUGUAGCGGUGAAAUGCGUAGAUAUUAGGAGGAACACCAGUGGCGAAGGCGGCUUACUGGACUGUAACUGACGUUGAGGCUCGAAAGCGUGGGGAGCAAACAGGAUUAGAUACCCUGGUA